RNAcentral lists this unclassified non-coding RNA (567 nucleotides) under Hevea brasiliensis (rubber tree). The record is from RNAcentral. Lineage: Eukaryota; Viridiplantae; Streptophyta; Magnoliopsida; Malpighiales; Euphorbiaceae.
CUCCGCCACCUUCACCGUCAUGGAACCGGAGACGAUGCGCCGCAUGUUCGCCGGUGAACUUGGUCCUGACCGUGAUUUCUUCAUCUACAGCCGUCAUUUCAAUCCGACGGUGCUCAAUCUCGGUCGCCUCAUGGCGGCGCUUGAGGGAACGGAAGCUGCUUACUGUACGGCUUCCGGCAUGUCGGCGAUAUCAUCGGUGAUGCUACAGCUCUGCAGUUCAGGUGGACACGUGGUGGCUUCGCAGACGCUGUAUGGUGGGACCCAUGCGUUGCUCACGCAUUUUUUACCAAGGGCUUGUAACAUAACGACGUCGUUCGUGGAUAUAAGGGAUUUGGAAAUGGUCAAGGAAGCUAUAGUUGAAGGGAGAACAAAUGUGCUGUAUUUUGAGUCGAUUUCAAAUCCGACGCUGACGGUGGCUAACAUCCCGGAGUUGAGCAGGAUAGCGCAUGAAAAAGGUGUGACAGUGGUGGUGGACAACACUUUUGCUCCGUUGGUGCUGUCGCCGGUGAAGCUGGGGGCUGAUGUUGUUGUUCAUAGUAUUUCCAAGUACAUUAGCGGUGCAGCUGA